CCUACGGGAUGCAGCAGUGGGGAAUAUUGCACAAUGGGGGACACCCUGAUGCAGCGACGCCGCGUGAGUGAAGCAGUCUUUCGGUAUGUAAAGCUCUAUCCGCAGGGAAGACACUGACGGUACCUGACUAAGAAGCCCCGGCUAACUACGUGCCAGCAGCCGCGGUAAUACGUAGGGGGCAAGCGUUAUCCGGAUUUACUGGGUGUAAAGGGAGCGUAGACGGCCAGACAAGUCAGAAGUGAAAGCCCAGGGAUCAAACAUGGGACUGCUUUUGAAAUUGCCGGGCUGGAGGGCAGGAGAGGUAAGCGGAAUUCCUAGUGUAGCGGGUAAAUGCGUAGAGAUUAGGAGGAACACCAGUGGCGAAGGCGGCUUACUGGACUGGAACUGACGUUGAGGCUCGAAAGCGUGGGGAGCAAACAGGAUUAGAUACCCGGGUAGUC
RNAcentral lists this ribosomal RNA (440 nucleotides) under uncultured bacterium. RNAcentral describes it as "partial 16S ribosomal RNA". It matches the Rfam family "Bacterial small subunit ribosomal RNA", at positions 338 to 795 of the family's 1533-position model. The record is from RNAcentral.